This 464-nucleotide ribosomal RNA is filed under the name uncultured bacterium. RNAcentral describes it as "partial 16S ribosomal RNA". It matches the Rfam family "Bacterial small subunit ribosomal RNA", at positions 339 to 795 of the family's 1533-position model. The record is from RNAcentral.
CUACGGGGUGCUGCAGUGGGGAAUAUUGCACAAUGGGCGCAAGCCUGAUGCAGCCAUGCCGCGUGUAUGAAGAAGGCCUUCGGGUUGUAAAGUACUUUCAGCGGGGAGGAAGGGAGUAAAGUUAAUACCUUUGCUCAUUGACGUUACCCGCAGAAGAAGCACCGGCUAACUCCGUGCCAGCAGCCGCGGUAAUACGGAGGGUGCAAGCGUUAAUCGGAAUUACUGGGCGUAAAGCGCACGCAGGCGGUUUGUUAAGUCAGAUGUGAAAUCCCCGGGCUCAACCUGGGAACUGCAUCUGAUACUGGCAAGCUUGAGUCUCGUAGAGGGGGGUAGAAUUCCAGGUGUAGCGGUGAAAUGCGUAGAGAUCUGGAGGAAUACCGGUGGCGAAGGCGGCCCCCUGGACGAAGACUGACGCUCAGGUGCGAAAGUGUGGGGAGCAAACAGGAUUAGAUACCCUGGUAGUC